GGAUGCCGUUGCAGCAGCCUUCAUUGGUUCCUCCGUUUUAGGAGCGGGAAAACCGAAUGCCUUUGGAACCUUCAUCGGUGCAGUCCUGAUCGGAAUCCU
RNAcentral lists this transfer RNA (99 nucleotides) under Peribacillus simplex. RNAcentral's name for it is "Bacillus simplex tRNA-Leu". Lineage: Bacteria; Bacillati; Bacillota; Bacilli; Caryophanales; Bacillaceae. The record is from RNAcentral. RNAcentral also lists the same sequence under 1 other name.